This 442-nucleotide small RNA is filed under the name Arabidopsis thaliana (thale cress). RNAcentral describes it as "ATSL305260". Lineage: Eukaryota; Viridiplantae; Streptophyta; Magnoliopsida; Brassicales; Brassicaceae. The record is from RNAcentral.
UGCUUAUUAAUAUGCUUAGGUCAAUUGAUUUUUCAAAAGACAGAACUGUUUUUUUUUUAAGAUUUGCAAGAAGUGUUUGUUAAAAAUAGUAAAAAAUUUAUGUUUUAAAAAGAUAAAACACAAUCGUUUAACUUAAACAUGUUAAUUGUUAAGAGUAUAAAAAACAAUCAAUCGCUAACGGUUAAUUAAGACAAAUAUAUCACAAAAGUUCCAAUAAUAUCAAAAAGAAAUUCCAACUUAUCAGUUUUAUUUAUUUAGCAAUCAUUUUCAAAUAUAUAACGUAGAAUUACUAUAAUUUUAUUUUAUCGUUUAUAACUCGCACAUGCACAGUACCGAAUUUAAAUCUAGAUUACCGUACUAUAUCACUAGUACAAAUCAUUGUAUUAUAUAACCUCAAUCACAUAUACCCAGUCAUUUAUCAAUCAUUCAAUCCCAAAACAAU